UUGAACUUCAUCCUUCAGUUUCCCAGCAAGAAUGCUGUACAGUAUUCCAGACCUUUUCUAAUAUUGUCAGUACUUCUUUUUUGUUAUGUUUGAUCUGAACCACAGUUUCAUGCUUGUGUUUCUUAAUAGAUUGAAAUACAAUGUGUAG
Molecule: long non-coding RNA, 148 nt
Organism: Gavialis gangeticus (Gharial)
Lineage: Eukaryota; Metazoa; Chordata; Crocodylia; Gavialidae
Exons: 3
Source: RefSeq, a predicted model, not a curated record